Molecule: non-coding RNA, 13074 nt
Organism: Cinara cedri
Lineage: Eukaryota; Metazoa; Arthropoda; Insecta; Hemiptera; Aphididae
Source: the annotation of a GenBank genome assembly
UUUUGGUUUAACGGUUCAUUAUAGUUAUCAAUUAUAUUCUAUUACGAGUACAUCACUAAAAUACACCGUUUUGCAAAUCAAAAUGUUUCAAUUCAUAAUUCUUUACAUUAUUUUCAUCACUAUUGAUCUACACUCGUGUAAUUAUGGUAACUAUUUGAUUGUAUUUACUAACUUACAUACGAACAACAUAGGUUACAAUUUACAUGUUAACAGAUAUGAACUUAGAUAUUAAGAAAUAACAUAAUUAACUAUAUUAUUUAUGAAAAUUUUCGGUUUUUGCAUUUUCAAAACAUUAAUUAUUAUUAAACCAAAUUUGUAUGCUCUUAAAGUGAACUGCAAGAAAUCACUUGAUUCAUCUUAUAAAUACAAUUUUAUAUCACUACAAAAAUGAUUAAUAAAAAAUAUUUCUUUUUUAUAAGUAAUACGUAUGAUUUUAUUUUUAAAAAAAUUAUUUUAAAUUAAACCUACGCCUCCGUUACUCCUCUGGAAUAAUCACUAGUUUUCGUAUUGUAUUUAUUGAAAAUUAAACCUAUAGUUCAUAAAAUACAACUGUAAUAAAUUAUUUUCUAAGAAAUUAAUAAAAUAUUAUUUAAUUAGAUUCAGCAUGCUUAGGUAAGUUCAUUGCAAAUAUAAUAUAUAUUCGUAUACCAUACAAUAUACAACAUAACAUAAAAUUGUCGUUAACAUUUGGUAAAUUAAGUAAAUUAUUAAUCAUAUAAAUUUAUUGUAGUAAAGAAUCGAUAUGUUUACAUUAAAACUUCCUUACGAUCAAUAAGUUAAAUACGUACACUUGAAUACCUACUGAAAAAAAUCCAGCCGUUAGCCUGAUAGUUUUAGUAGUUUUAUAAUAUUUUCUAUAUAUAAAAUAUAACUUCAAUUUCUAAUUUUUUAUCCAAAAUUAAAGCUAUAAAUAUUAUAUUGAUUUUACGUCAUUGUUUAUCACUUGUUUCGUGUAAUCAACACAAUAUAAAUAAUAAUAGUAAAAUGUUAAUAUCGAAAAUUAGCUGUCAUAAAUAAUCAAGUUUAUUGAAUAAAAUCGUGAAAUAAAUAUCUCAUACAAAGAUAAUAGAUAUUGUAUUCCAAAUUCUUUUGAUUACAAUAUUUUAAUCUAUAAAAAUUGGUAAAUAUACAGAGUAUAUUUUUCUUUUAUUAUGAACGAGCAAUUUAACCGGUUAAUUUUUCUUUCCAAGAUGAAUUUUCUAUUAUUUUAAAUAGAAAUGAUACCUAAUUUAUUUUAAAUAGAUUAUUAUAAAUAAAUUUGUUAUGCUAACGAUUGUUUUAUUUAUAAUGACAUACGAUUUUGCGAUUUAGAUAAGAGGCAUUGGGUCAUAAUACUAUAAGAAAAAAUAUUUUAGACUCUGAGUAUAACGAAGAACGUAUUGGUUUUACAAAGAUGUUUAUUUUUUUAUUUUUUUUUACUGUGUACAAAAAUUCUACAAGAAAUCUGGCUGCGCUAUUUACGUGUGGCACUAUUUAUAAAAGGAAAGAAUUGAGCGGACUGACGUAGUUUCGAAAUUAUAACUUUGUGAAGCUAUACAAGUGAACAUUUUAUCACUCCUGAGAAUUAAAUACGCAUCAUUGCAACAACAAUUCAAGAUAAAUUAUUAAUACCGUUGUCAGAGAAUUGCGUUAUAACUAUGUUUACUUUGAGUAAAAUGACUGGUUUAUGAUAAAAAGAUUAUUUAAAAAGAAUGUAUAGUGCGUUACUUUACGGAGAGAAAAUCUUCACUUAUUCUUAUAAUAAUUUAAUGUUGGUUGAUUAUGACACAUUUUUAAAACAGCGGAACUAAAUACUAGUUUUCCUAGUGAGUACAAUUAUUUUGAAUAAUAUAGGUAUUAUAAUUAUUAAUAAUUGACGUGUAGUGCAAAAGCUGUUUUUACAAUAUUGCGUGUAGUAUUUAAAUUUUAAAUAAUCAUGAAUUUUUUGUAUGACAUUUUGAAUUAGCGUGUACAAGUGCUCUGGAUUGUGCCAUUUAUGCAAUAAAUCACAUGUGUAUGUAUAUUAUAAUAUUAAUAUAAGUUUUUAAUAAAUACGAAAGUUUAAGUACUCGGGCAUUAUCUCGAAAAGUAUUAGAAUACAUACGUAAAAUACAUAAGAAACAAACGCAGCUCUAAAAUUUUAUAUAACCAUUAUUUUUUUCGCACUGAUGUUUGGAGAAUUUAUUAUAAUAUAGUAUAUUUUUUUGGAUUCUAAGUGUAGGGAAUAAUCUGUUUUGUCCUGUGUACGAAAAUUCUACCAGAAAACUUGCUCAGAUAUACAUGUACGGCACGUUUUCUGAAAAGGAAUGUUGUCCAGAUGGUACACGUGGAAGGUCUUUUUUAUGAUUUUCUUUUGGUUUUCAUAAUAUCAGGAAAAACUAAGAUAAAACGUAAGAAAAACAGGAAAUAUACGAAAAUAAUUCUUUUAUUAAUUUUUAAAUUUUGUUAUUUGUUGUAAUUCAAUUAAAAAUAUUCAUAAACACUUGAAAAUAGGAAAAAAAAAAUUAUAUUUGCCUUUUCUAGACGCGGUCAAAUUUUCAAAAUAUUUGAGCUAUUUUUAUGCUUUUGAUGAAAAUGUUAAUAUUUUUGUUGAAAUGCAGUUAAAAAUAUUUGUAUAGACUCUAUGGGCCUAAAAUUUAGACAGAAAUCUUAUAUUCAUCUUAUAUUUAAGACAUUUUAAUUUUGCGAGUUUUUAACAAAAAUCAUUUGAGUAAAACAUUAUGUGGAACAAAUCUAGUUUAUCAAUUUUAAAUCCCGAGCGUGGCGAGGGAGCUAUUUGUUUUACUAAGAUGUUUAUUUUUUUUUCUCCUUCCUUCUUAUAGUCUAUAGACAUGAUUUUUCUAGUAAACUUGCUCCNUUUGUUAUUUGUUGUAAUUCAAUUAAAAAUAUUCAUAAACACUUGAAAAUAGGAAAAAAAAACUUAUAUUUGCCUUUUCUAGAGCCGGUCAAAGUGAAGUACCGAUAUUAUGCGGAUAUUAUACUCGUGUGUUAUAUUAAAUAACUCUAUAUUGUACCUCUUCAAGCAUAUUUAUCGUGAUCUAAUGAUUAUUCAUACCUGUUAUCAUCCUAGGAUUUCCGAGUCCAAACCAGUGUUUCGAAAAAGAAAUUGUUUCUAUUUCUUUUUCCUUUUUUACCUAAACAAAGGAAAAACAAAUACAUUUGGGUGUACCUAGAGACCCAAGCUAUCACUCGCACUAUUUAAUCGUAAAAUACCCUUCGAUUUGUUGUGCAAACUUUUCUACCAGCAAUUAAAUCGAUAGCGUUUUUCCUGAAAGAAAAUCUGACUAUGUUGGUAUUUUAGGUACGUCAUUUUUUGAUUUUCUCAGAAAUUAUAAAAAAUCAGGGAAAACCAUAAGAAAACCGGGAGAAACGUAGAAAAACGGGAAAAUCGGUACAAUAUUAAACAAAUAUUACAAAGAAAAUAUAUAAUGCCUAUUUUUCUAUAAUAUGACAUAUAUAUUGUUGACAAAGCAUCACUAUCAACUGAACUGAGAUCAGAAUCGGUUUUUUUAUUUGCAAUGGUUUACCAUUGCUUAUAAAUAUACAUUAAAUUACCUAUAACAGUGGCUGUACCGGUCUCCACUAUCCUAGGACGUCUUUUUAAUUUCAGUUAACUCCAACUCAACUCUAACGCAAUAACCUUACAUAGGUAUAAUUAAAUCUUUCCAAAAUUAAUUUAAUUAUUCGUACGUAUUCAACAUAGCGUGUAUCAAAAGCGGACUACGAUGAUGCUAUAAGAGAUUUUAAUCAAAUUUGUGUUCGCAAAGGCAAAUAUAAAACAAAUAAUGGUUAUGUUGAAUACAUAACAUUUAUUUUCAAUAUAUAUAAUAUUGUAUACUUUAACUUUUAGUACUUGUAAAUUGUAAGAGUAAGUGCAGUUUUUAUAAUUAGUCAUAAUAUAUAGGAUUUACUAUAAUAAUGAGCUGAAGAUUUACAUUAAAAAUAAUGUGAAAGUUUCAAUCGUAACGAAUUUUUUUUCUCCAUAGACUUUACACUGAAAUAUUAUCUUUAUUUGUAUUCGAAAAUUAAAACAGGUAUGCAUUAUAAAUUUAUUAAUAAUAUAAUGUUUUAGAAAAUAUUCUAGGAAAAUUAAACAAAAUAUUAAAAUGCGAUUUAGUAAAAUAACGACAAAAUGUAUGGUGUGCAGUAAAACAAAUUUUAUUUAUUAUAGUAUAAAAAUAGACUUAUUUAGGUAGUGAAAUGUAGGAUGGUCGAAUUAAAGCAGACAUACUUAACAGAAUAACACAAGCAGAGGGGUUUUUAGGACUAUCUAUUGACCACUAAUAGUGUUAUUUUUCUGAUAAGUAAAAUGUUCCUAAUGAUGUAUGAGUGAAAUGAGGCUUUGUACUCUAUAUGUAUUAAUAUUAAACUGCAGAAGGGAAAACUAGAAGCUGUUGAAAUAUAAUGUUAUCGAAAACUGUUUAAGAUUAAAUAGAUUGAAAGAAUAACAAAGAAAAAGUAUUCAGCGAAAUAAACGAAAGGCGAGAAUUUUAGGAUACUAUACAAAUCAGAAAAAAUAAAAUGAUAUAAUGUCUACGAGCUACGUCACGAUAGUUUGACGAAAUUCGUCAUAGAAGAUGGCGUGGUUCAUAACAGAAAAUCAACUAUAUGUGAAUGUCUAUGAAAUGAUACACAUAAAUAAGGAUAGUCACAAAGAAUUAUAGGAAUUGAGUUACGAAACGUAAGCAUGACGAACAAACGGAUGAUCAAACGGCUGAUUUUACCAGUUUUGGGGUAGUUAAAUUUAAAAUUCUCUAAGAUUUUAGAAAUUUACCGUCCAUAUUUUAUACUCUGAGCGAAGUGAAGAAUGUAUUAAUUUUAUAAUGAUGUUAUUUCAUUUUUUUAUUUUCGUAUACUGUGUACAAUUUUUCUACCGAAAAUGUUGCUUAAAAUUUCGAGUAUAGCUUCUUUUCUGAAGUGAAAUUUUAUUUAAUUGUAUAAAAACAUAGGAUCAACGAAAAAACUUAAGAAAUUAAGCUUUUAUUUUUUUCAAUUUGGUUUUUUUUAAUUUUAGUUCAAUUAAAAAUGUUCGUAAAGACAUGAACUUUAGACAAAAACUUAUAUUUACUUUUUCUAAACAUGGUAAAAUUGUCAUAACAUUUGAUCCAUUUCUUAGAUAUUCGUAGAUAUUUUAAUUUCGCGCGAUUUUGACGUUAUUUUUAUUCGGUAGGCAUUCAUGGAUACAACUGUUUGACCAAAUAGAAAAUUUAACAAGAGGUUCAGUAUAGUGUAGAGGUUGCACUCAGUGGUCAACAAAAAAAGUUGGGUUUAAUGUAGUAUUGUUUUUUUUUUUUAUAUAGAUUUUUAUUAACAAAUUUUGAGGGAAAUCUUACAUAUUAUGGUCUAUCAAAACAUGUGUAAUCAAACGCCGAUCAUAAUUAUUUUUCGUGAGAAAUCGUUGCAUACAAAAAAUACAUUAAAUUUCCCUUUAUGUACUACCCAUUCAAACUUUCCCCUACAACAGUGGUCCACCCCAUAGUGCGAAGUAUGUUCGUCUUUUAUUAUACGAGUACAUAUUUACAUACAAAGCUAUAGCUAUAACUAAACAGGUAGGUACCUAUUUUUCGAAUCGCUGAGUAAUAUGAGACGUCUACUUGAAAUAUAAAGUAUUAAAAAAAAAAAUCGGUAAACCAACAUUUCUUUAUUAUCAGAUACGUUAAUGAGGCCGACAGAAUUUUGUGAGAGUCAAGAAGGCAAGUUUGCUAAAAUUAAGUAACAUUAAAAAUUAUAUACUAUGUUAAUUCAUUUGUCAUUUAACACGUUUUGAUGUUGCAUAAAAUAUUUAACAUGAUGUGUGAUAAUUUCUUCUAGCAAAAAAUAAACAAAAUCUCCAGGGUAAGACUUUGAUGUAACACUCUGCUUUCAGAUCUCAAAAAAAAUAUUAUUAUAUAGUGUCUCGUAUAUAACAUUAAUAAAUAAUAAAAUUAUAAAAUGGUUAAUACUCUUAAAUAAAUAUAUAAAUAAAAAAUGUAUACAUAAAAAUAAAAUUAAUUAAUUAAUGAAUACGUCGCCUGGAGUAUUACGAUAAAAGUAUUAUACGACCGUUUUCGAUUUGAAAAUUCAUUAUCAGGUUUAUCACAGCUAAAAUGUAAAACGUAAGACUGAAUAUAAGAAAUUAAAUAAAGGAACACUGGACGUAAUAGCUUCGCAAUCAUUCUGAAGUUUUUCCCUAAAGAUAGUUUACGGAAGUACAAUUUUGCGUUUCAUGAAGAACUGUUAUAACAGAAAACUAUUAGUCUACCCACUAGACUACCCACUUUCAACCUAUUUGUUUUCAUUUGUUAUUAUUCAUUGGUGACACGGUCAAAUUCGAAAAAAGAAUAUGGGUAGAAAAUGGCACGGACAACGCUGGACGAGACAGCUAGUAUAACAUAUUAUAUAAAAUUAUAUUUUUAUUUAAUAUUAAUACCUCUCGAGGAAUUUAAUAUUCGUAUAAACAUUCGCAUUCAAUACGUUCAAACAAAUUAACGCUAUAAAACAAAUUGUAUUUUUUCUUUAAAAGAUCCAGGAUUAAUUCGAUUUAUUGAAGAGGGUAAGAUCAAAUAUGUAUCAUUGGCUAUUGCAGUAUUGCGUGUAAAUUUUAUAUAUUAUUUUAGCGUCAAAUCCUCAGGAAAUUUAAGUUUACAAUUUUUUAUACACCAAUAUGUUAUAAUAUAACUACAAAAAUUAAGAAAUUAAAAAUUAUAUAUAACCCGUAUAACAUUAUAAUAUCAUACCUUUAUUAUAAAUAAUACGUAUCUAACCUAACCACCAAACCCUAUGUAAUUUAAUAAUUUAAUCAGUAAAAUUAAGUGUAAUUCUUUGAUGUUGAAAUCGAAAUAAAAUAAUUGAUAUUUACUAAUGAUUAUUUUUUUAGAAAAUAGUAAUACACUCAUUAAUGAUGGUAAGAAUAAUCAUAGAUAUUAUUAUACGUACAAAAAACAAAAAAUUAUUUUAAAAUAUUGGUAUCUUGUUGAAAUAAUAUUUUUAUAAGUAUAAGUAGACACAUGAUAUUAUUUGAAGGAAACAAAUUAAACUCUAAGAAAAUUAAAAAAACUAUUCUAUCAGAAUAUAGAUACACAUAAUAUUAUCAUAAUAUAUAUUAUUAUACAGUUGUAAAAUUAGUUUUAUUAUAAAAAUUAAAAUUAUACGUUUAGUUAUAAGGUUGUGACCAAUGGGUAGCCGUCUACAUCCUGCCUUCUUUUUAAUCCUGGACCUUGUUCGUACCUACCACAUUUACUUGUUCAGCUUAUUGCGUUACAUAUAACGGAUUAAAAAUAUAUUUUUAUAAAUAAAUACAAACAAUCACGAGCAACAGAAAUACUAGGGUCGACAUUUUCCCCAGCCGACUUGUCGCCGUAAAUAUUUUAUUUUUUUUUUUUUUUUAUUAAUAACUGUUCUAAAAUACUUAUGGUUCCGAAAAUUCGUGUUAAAUUUUAUUCUAUAGAGGUAUUUAAACCUCGGUAUUUCUUGUGAAAACUUUGAGCAUAAACAUAAUUACGGAGGGGGUUAAAAGUUAAAACCCCACUAAGCACAUCCUUGAUUCUUACAACAUAUAUAUUAUACUAAAGGUGUGAACAAUGAUAAAAAUACAUCCUUCUCCAGCAACAACAUCGUUAAACUCGGUGUGAAAUUCAACGGACGUUUUCUCACUUCAAUCUUCUCAUAAAACAACUGUAAAGUUCAAGUUUGAAUUAAUUUUGCCUAAAACUUGGCAACCGCUAUAAAUUUCCAAAAAUUUCGAAAAGAUAAAUAAAUGUAUACAUAGGUUAAUAACCCUGUAUACAUAACAAAUACAAUAUAGUGGAACAGUCUCCACUUUUGGGGAAAAUUCUACUAAAAAUAUAUAUGUAUAAACGAAUUUAUUAAAUAAAUAUAAAGUGAACUGCUCAAAAGUUGCCAAUUAGACACAGUUUACUAUUCAGUACAAUGAGUAUAUAAUUAUAUGUAUUUUUUUUUUUUUACGUGUUUAAAAAUUUAACACUGACUUGAUUUAUAUCUAAUAUGAUAACAGCUUAUUUUAGUAAAAUAAAUAAUACAUUUUGUGUAUUAAUAUAGAAUAUCAUGAACUAUAUCCGGAAGGUAAGAUGGCAUAAUACCUAUACGGGACAUAGAUAUAUUAUAAUAAUAUUAAAAAAAAAAUAAUUUCAUGCACUGAUAUAUAUUGAAAUGUAUUUCUAUCUGAAGCUAACGUAUAUUCAGAUAAAGAAAGUCGCAAGUCUAAUAAACAUAUAUUAUAGUUAACAAUGAAUCUAUAAUAUAAUAUAGGUACUUAAGACAUACGACUUCAAACAUAAUAUUAGUAUAACUGAAAUUGGAUUUUAAUUCGUUUUUAUUCAUUUUAUUUAAGAAUCCAAUUAUGUACCAAUUCUCGAUGGUAAGAUUUUAAUAUAAUGUAUUUAAUAUUACUGGUAUUUACUUAUAUACAAUUAAAUCUGCUAUUAGCUUUCCUUUAUGGCUACUCUUCCGACACUCACUUAUAAAUGGAAUUUUCCUUUCGAUAUGGAAAAUUAAUUGUGUCAUUCCUGUACACAAAUCAGGUGACGUGAAAAAUUAUCGACCUAUCUCAAUACUCUCCCGUUUAGCAAAACUGUUUGAAUCUCUUGUUUUCAUGAUUAUCCAGCCAUCUGUCAACUCCAUACCGAUAGAUGAACAGUAUGGCUUUAAACCGGGCCGUUCCGCUACGAUGAGCUCAAUUGCGUUCAAUAAUUAUAUCCUUGAGACCUUUAAAAACCACUCUCGGGUAGAUACAAUAUUUACUGAUUUAUCAAAGGCCUUUGACUGUGUAAACCACUCAGCCCUUAUACAAGUUCUUUACAAGUUGGGCUUUGGAGAUCCCCUCCCAUCAUGUAUCAGAUCAUAUCUAGCAGUUUGAACACAGUGGGGUCAAUAAAAACGGUCAGCAAACGGUGGCUACUACGGUACCUUCUGAUGUUCCCCGUGGUGGCUAUUAUUAUAUUAUAUUAUAUUAUAUAUAUCAUUAUAUUACUAUAUAUAAAACCGCUAUUAUUUGCCUUAUUCUUAAACGGCUUGAAACGAACGUUGCCCAACUGUCACUUCCUUAUUUUCGCUGACCGCCUUAAACUAUUCUAAAAAAUUAUCCCAAUAAAUGAUUAUCAUUUACUGCAAUCUAGUUUGGACGAUGUAGUUUCCUAAUUCACUGGGUCUAUGCCUCAAUAUGGAAAAGUGUCGGACUAUGUCGUUUGCUACAUGUCGAUUGAUUAUUUCUUUCCAAUACAAAAUCUAUGACUCUACUCUUGUAUCGGUAAAGAGUGUGAAAGACCUGGGAUUUAUUUACACUCCUACAUUUGACUUUCACCCACACAUUGAAUCAUCUUCUUGCAGGGCUCUCAAAGUACUUGGAUUUGUCAAGCGAAUAGCCUCUGAAUUUAAGCUUGAGUAUUCUUUAAAAUCUCUUUAUUUUACCUUAGUUCGAUCUAUUAUUGAAUAUUUAUCCGUGUUCUGAGAUCCUCACACAGCGUCAAGCUACCUACAACUAGAGCGCGUCCAGAGACGCUUUUUAUCAUUCACUUCCUAUGUUCUGAAAAUUGAUCACACCCCGCAUGUUUCCCUGUUCUAGUCGUACUCAAACUCACAUCACUGGCUAAUAGAAGAGCAGCUGCAAAUUUAUUAUUUCUACAUAAACUCUUACGCGGUUAAAUAUAUGCUCCCACUCUCCUUUCCAGUAUCAACUUCAAAAUGCCACGGCGUUCCCGUCGCAACAACCCUAACUAUGGUAUUAUGCGCAUGGCUAAUGAACACCCAUCCUAUUGACCAUAAUCACUUUGUAUUGUUUUUUCAUUAUUUUUCUGUUAAUUAAAAAUUAUAUUUAUAUGUAAUAUGUAAUAUGUGGGAAUGUCCGUAAUGUUUUGAAUAAAUAAAUAUGUAUUGCACAUUUGUAAAAUGUAUAUUUAGGUUUUUCUUGAGUAUAAUUCACAACGAGUUUUGUCUUUUCGUUUUAAAUGCUUUCAAAUUUAAACGUAUCGUUCAAACGCACGAGUAAUUUUUUUUUAAUUUUUUUUUUACUUUUAGAAAAUGUUAAUAUUCGUCUCCUCGCAGGUAAUAUAAUACAUGUAUACGUGUAAUUCAUCAUACGUUGUACAAUAUAUAGUUACACAAUCAUCGGAAUUUUUUUUUUUUUUCCAGAAAAAAAUAAUAAUCUACUGCUUCUUGAGGGUAAGGUCAUAUAUAAUAUUACACGCAUUACCGAUAAAGUUUAAAUCAGGUGUCCUCAACCCACGGCCUGUUUUGUCUUUUUUCGAAGCCCGUGAGCACAUUUUAAGCAUAGCAUCUAUUCAUUCUAUUUUGAUUAAAUUAAAACGGCUAUCAGACAAUAACAAUUCUCUAUCAUCUCUAUCAAAAACGUUGGUCGCCAUAUUUAUAGUCAACACAAUAAGAUAAAUUUACAUUAGAUGAACGUGUGAUCCGGGUAUAAUCUGUCUAUUUCAUAGAGAGUUGUCUGUUGACGGUUAAUUAAUACUUAAUAAGUAGUCAGUUUUCGAUUUGUGUCACAUUUAAAAUUUCACGAAUUCUCGACAUAAUAUCAAUUAUUUCAGUUUGUAAAAAACUAAAAAUCUCAUAUAUCAAUCUCACUAAAAAAUAAAUAACAUGAAUUUUAAAAUUUACUGUACCUAUGUUGUAAUAAUAAAAUAAUUAAUAAAUAAUUUGCAAUAUAAAAUGUAUUUUUUUGUUUCUUUAUAUAUAUACUGUUUUAAUAGGCAUUAAUAGGUUGAAGACCCUUGACUUAAAUUAUACUAUAUUAUAUAAUAUAAUGAUGCGUUUCUAAAUGUUCGAUACUUGUAAGUACAGUAUUGAUUUUCAACAUUUCGUCAGAUUGCCUGUUUAUUACGUAUUUAAUAAACAAAAAUAAAAUAUAUUUUUAUAUUUUAUAUUAUAUUUUUUUUUAGAACAUGGUAACCGACUUGCUCCUGACGGUAAGUCUAAUAAAAUAAAAUAUAUUUUUAAUAACCUAAACGCGUACAUUUUUAAUCAUUUUGGUACCUAUGCUGUUUGUGAAUUUCAGUAAAUCUAAUUUUCGGAUUGCAAUUUGAAAAUCGUUAGAAUAAAAAUUUAUUGUAUAAUUAAUUAAUUACUAUAUUAAAUUAAUAUAAACUAUUCUAUAUAGUUUCACAUCUAUUAUAAUGAUUUUAAAACCUUUAAAAUAACUAAUUUAUAAUAGUUAACAUUAAAAUGUAGGUUUUGAUUUUUAGAUUCUGAGUAUAGCGAAGAAUGUAUGAUUUUACUAAGAUGUUUAUUUUUUUUUUUUUUUAAUUUUUAAUGCUAUUUACAAUAAUUUUAUCAGAAAUUUUGCUCCGACGGAUAUGAAUAUACAAUGCAGACCCUUUUCUAAAAAGGAAAUUUUCUUAAAGUGGUGAAAAUUAGAGAAAUUGAGAGAAAAAUUGGAAAAAAACACGAAAAAAAUGCUUUUGUUAUUUGUUGAAUUUCAUUUUCGUAAGUACUUAAAAUUUAGACAGAAAAUAUAUAAUUGCCUUUUAUAGACAUAAUAAAAUUGUCAAAACAUUUGAGCUAUUUUUAAUUUUUUAUACAAAUUUUAAUAUUUAUAUUGAAAUUCAGUUAAAAAUGUUCGUAUCGAUUUAAUGGACUUAAAAUUUGGACAAAAACUUAUAUUAGCCUUUUCUAGACGCGGUAAAAUUUUCAAAAACUGUUAACCAAUUUUGAGCUAUUUAUAGACAUUUUAAUUUUGCAAUUUUUAUACGUAUUUUUUAUUCGGUAGGUACUGUGUGAUAAAAUUGUUGGACUAAACAAAAAUGCGUGAAAAUUUAAAAGGAGAUUCAUUAAAAGUCUUAUUUUGUGGUAAAAAAAAAAAAUUAAGUUUAAUGUAGUAUUUUUUUUUUGUAAAGUAAUUUUAAUAUCAAAUUUUAACGAAAAUCUUUCGAGUAAAAAAUUAUGUGAACAAAUCUAAUUUUUCAAUUUUUUUUUUUUUUAAUAUACGUACUCAUAUAUUGCCAAUUUAUGAACGAUAGUUAAGUAAGAAUUGAAUAGACUGACAUAGUUUCAAAAUCAUAGCCUUGUGAAGUUCUGAUAUUAUGUGGUUAUUAUAUGUUAUGUUAAAUAACUAUUUUACUAUCAAAACUUAUUAUGUGUCAUAUAGUAUAUACAUACAUACAUACCUUUGGUGAUUCUAAAAAUCGCGAGUUCAAACCCGAGUUUCGAAACAAAUUUUAGAUUCUGAAUGGAGCGAAGAAGCCUCUGGUUUUACAAAGAUGUUUAUUUGUAUUUUUUUUUCUGUAGACAACUUUUCUAUCAGAGCUCUUGCACUGGUUUUUAAGUAUAGCACCUUUUCUAAAAGGAAAUCGGUGUAGGGAGGUACAUUAAGGAGGUCAUUUUUUUGUUUUUCUCAUUAGAUUUCCCAAUAAAUGGGAAAACCGUAGGGAGAACGGAAAAAUAGGUAAAAACAUUUUUAAAGAAAAUACAUAUUGCCUAUGUGAUUAUUUUACCAUAAUAUAUGAUAUAUAUAUUGUUGACAAAGUAACUACACUAUCAACUGGAUUCCGCUCAGAAUUGUUUUUCCGUUAGCAAAGGCUAAUCGUUACGAACAGAUGUAUAUAUAUAUAUAUUAAAUUACCUAUAACAAUGGCUGCACUCGUCCCCAUUAUUCUAGUACGUCUCAUUCAAACAAAUAUAUAUAAUUAUAUCAAACUAAAAUAAACUAAUAAAUAAUAAUCGAAAAUUGUAUGCAUUUAUACAACAUGUUCGUUUUAAUUUAAUUUUUUUUUUUUCAUUUCGAGAUAGAAACGCCUGUUCCAAUUGAAGGUAUAGGUAUAUUAAUUUAUAUAAUCAGUUCAUAUUACAUAAUUAUCAUAUGAUAAAUUAUCGUUAUUAUAGUAUUUAGUUAUGGUAAUUUCUGAAAAAUAAAAACUUUAUAAGGAAAAUUGAAAAAAAAAUUAUAGAAUAAUAAAUGUAUAGUACUCGCGUGAGAUUAGGUAAUAGCGAGGUUUUUUUUUUAUAACACUCACUUUCCCUCAAAAAAAAAAAUAAUAAUAUCUAAUAUAAUUUUACAUUUUAUAAUUAACAGUUUAAUAAAAUACCUUUAUUGUGUUUAUUGUUCAUUAUUAGGUCCUUAUGAGGAUAAAAAUAUAAAUAAAGUUGUUAAAG